AGUCGAGCGAAGCUUUCCAGUAGUUUACUACAGAAAAUGACUGAGCGGCGAACGGGUGAGUAACGCGUGAGCAAUCUACCUUAGUUACAGGGAUAGCCCGAGGAAACUCGGAUUAAUACCUGAUAUUCUUUAAAUUUCGCAUGAAAUUAAAAGGAAAGGUCAGCCGAACUAAGAUGAGCUCGCGUUCUAUCAGCUAGUUGGUGAGGUAAAAGCUCACCAAGGCAACGACGGAUAGCUGGUCUGAGAGGACGAUCAGCCACACUGGGACUGAGACACGGCCCAGACCCCUACGGGAGGCUGCAGCAGGGAAUAUUGCGCAAUGAGCGAAAGCUUGACGCAGCGACACCGCGUGUGGGAUGACGGAUCUAGGUUUGUAAACCACUUUCAGGAGGGAAGAAAAUGACGGUACCUCCACAAGAAGCCCCGGCCAACUACGUGCCAGCAGCCGCGGUAAUACGUAGGGGGCGAGCGUUGUCCGGAUUUAUUGGGCGUAAAGAGCUCGUAGGCGGUUCAACAAGUCGGUCGUAAAAGUUCAGGGCUCAACCCUGAAAUGUCGAUCGAUACUGUUGUGACUAGGAUACGGUAGAGGUGAGUGGAGUUCCGAGUGUAGCGGUGAAAUGCGUAGAUAUUCGGAGGAACACCAAUUGCGAAGGCAGCUCACUGGGCCGCUAUCGACGCUGAGGAGCGAAAGCUAGGGGAGCAAACAGGAUUAGAUACCCUGGUAGUCCUAGCUGUAAACGAUGGAUACUAGACGUAGGAACUGGAUUGACGGUUUCUGUGUCGUAGCUAACGCGUUAAGUAUCCCGCCUGGGGAGUACGGUCGCAAGACUAAAACUCAAAGGAAUUGACGGGACCCCGCACAAGCGGCGGAGCAUGCGGCUUAAUUCGAUGAUACCCGUAGAACCUUACCUGGACUUGACAUAUAGGGUCAAGCUAUAGAGAUAUAGUGUGCAUUAGCGCCCUAUACAGGUGGUGCAUGG
This 980-nucleotide ribosomal RNA is filed under the name uncultured marine bacterium. RNAcentral describes it as "bacterial SSU rRNA". It matches the Rfam family "Bacterial small subunit ribosomal RNA", at positions 60 to 1048 of the family's 1533-position model. The record is from RNAcentral.